UGGCUCAAUAGUUAGAGCAUUGGACUUCUAAUCAAACGGUUCCGAGUUCGAGCCUCGG
This 58-nucleotide transfer RNA is filed under the name Schistocephalus solidus. It matches the Rfam family "tRNA", at positions 8 to 63 of the family's 71-position model. From Rfam's summary of the family: Transfer RNA (tRNA) molecules are approximately 80 nucleotides in length. Their secondary structure includes four short double-helical elements and three loops (D, anti-codon, and T loops). The record is from Rfam by way of RNAcentral. Lineage: Eukaryota; Metazoa; Platyhelminthes; Cestoda; Diphyllobothriidea; Diphyllobothriidae.